Molecule: long non-coding RNA, 565 nt
Organism: Calidris pugnax (ruff)
Lineage: Eukaryota; Metazoa; Chordata; Aves; Charadriiformes; Scolopacidae
Exons: 3
Source: RefSeq, a predicted model, not a curated record
CUCUGUUUUCACUUUUUCCUCUUCAAAACUCUACAAGAUCACACUGAAAGAGCUUACAAAUCUGGAAGUGUGCCGCUGCAUCAGGACCUUACUAAAAGUACCUACAGUGAUACUGUUACCUGUGAUAUCGGCUCUUGGAGCUGCUUUGGAGUCUGAUGAUCUGUAUUGUGGGUCCCAAGUAAAGUAGUGAUGAUAAAACACCUGGAGUAUUAAGAAGAUGAAUUAAUUGAUCUUCAUCAAGGACUUACGCACUACAGAGAUGGGGGUGUUAAAAAUCAUGCCAGAUGGACAUUGCUUGAGCUGGUGCAGAAGAAUCACAGUCCUGACUCUUCCUCAUUUCACAGAAAGGGGACCACUUGUUUCUUACAGAUUACACAGAGGUUAAUUUUGCAAGAGGACAAAACCAUUCAGAAAAUCUGGAGUAUUCAAGGAUUUAGUGCUACUGCCAGGACAUGGGGCUGUGAAGAGAAGAGUCUGGCUCCACUUCAAUCCUUGUGAAAUAGCUCCACGAUGAUAUUCUUGACGUCAUUGUGGAAACAAAAUAAAACACUUGUUCUUUCAAAAA